AGCCUCGUAGCUCAGCUAGAAGAGCGUACGCUGUACACACGUGUAGGUGGCGUCCAUGCGUGGGUUCAAAUCCCACCGAGGCUA
RNAcentral lists this transfer RNA (84 nucleotides) under Echinostoma caproni. It matches the Rfam family "tRNA". Rfam says of the family: Transfer RNA (tRNA) molecules are approximately 80 nucleotides in length. Lineage: Eukaryota; Metazoa; Platyhelminthes; Trematoda; Plagiorchiida; Echinostomatidae. The record is from Rfam by way of RNAcentral.